AUUUAUAUAGUUUAUAAUAAAACAUUAUAUUUUCACUAUAAAAAUAGAAUUUUUUUUCUUAUAAAUA
Molecule: transfer RNA, 67 nt
Filed under: Scarabaeidae sp. BMNH 1274752
Lineage: Eukaryota; Metazoa; Arthropoda; Insecta; Coleoptera; Scarabaeidae
Description: tRNA-Glu
Source: RNAcentral